This 572-nucleotide long non-coding RNA is filed under the name Phascolarctos cinereus (koala). RNAcentral describes it as "lncRNA (ENSPCIG00000014680.2)". The record is from RNAcentral. Lineage: Eukaryota; Metazoa; Chordata; Mammalia; Diprotodontia; Phascolarctidae.
CAAGUUAGUUUCCCUGGUUUGACAAUGUUCUUCUUGUUCUUGUAGGAGAGCUUGUUAAUACUCUUUGCCAUAAUUCCUUCUAAUGACAACAGGAAGAGAAACAUUGCCACCAAUCUAUGGAGCAUACUCAAGAAGGUAAUCGUUCUGGAAUAAAAUAGCAGAAUCUAGCACUUGACAUAGGAGAGUGAGUAGAAGCCUUCAUCCCUAUUUUUAGGGCUGGCUGCCAUCGUUCUGGGCCACCAGAUAUGUAGAUUAUUGUUCAGCUUUUCCCCCUCCCGUUUUUUGGUCUGGUCUCAUCAGAUACGCAUUCCAAGAAAUUACCUCAAGAUUUGUUUCACCAUUAAAGUGACAUUCUCAGCUGUGCUCCAAUCAACUGGAUAAAAGAGAAUACCUCAGAGGUUGUUUCUGGUUGACUAUCACCUUUCAAAGUAUGUAUAUGUGUGAGAGAGCCCUCAUCCUUCUUAGACUAUUGUUAGAAAUAACUAAUGAUGUAUUAUAAAAUGCCUGGCAUGCCAAAGGGCUCCAAAACUCUUUUGCGACUGCAUAUAUAAACAGGAAUUACUUCACCCACC